GACGAACGCUGGCGGCGUGCCUAAUACAUGCAAGUAGAACGCUGAAGAGAGGAGCUUGCUCUUCUUGGAUGAGUUGCGAACGGGUGAGUAACGCGUAGGUAACCUGCCUUGUAGCGGGGGAUAACUAUUGGAAACGAUAGCUAAUACCGCAUAACAAUAGGUGACACAUGUCAUUUAUUUGAAAGGGGCAAUUGCUCCACUACAAGAUGGACCUGCGUUGUAUUAGCUAGUAGGUGAGGUAACGGCUCACCUAGGCGACGAUACAUAGCCGACCUGAGAGGGUGAUCGGCCACACUGGGACUGAGACACGGCCCAGACUCCUACGGGAGGCAGCAGUAGGGAAUCUUCGGCAAUGGGGGCAACCCUGACCGAGCAACGCCGCGUGAGUGAAGAAGGUUUUCGGAUCGUAAAGCUCUGUUGUAAGUCAAGAACGAGUGUGAGAGUGGAAAGUUCACACUGUGACGGUAGCUUACCAGAAAGGGACGGCUAACUACGUGCCAGCAGCCGCGGUAAUACGUAGGUCCCGAGCGUUGUCCGGAUUUAUUGGGCGUAAAGCGAGCGCAGGCGGUUUGAUAAGUCUGAAGUUAAAGGCUGUGGCUCAACCAUAGUUCGCUUUGGAAACUGUCAAACUUGAGUGCAGAAGGGGAGAGUGGAAUUCCAUGUGUAGCGGUGAAAUGCGUAGAUAUAUGGAGGAACACCGGUGGCGAAAGCGGCUCUCCGGUCUGUAACUGACGCUGAGGCUCGAAAGCGUGGGGAGCGAACAGG
This 765-nucleotide ribosomal RNA is filed under the name uncultured Streptococcus sp. RNAcentral describes it as "bacterial SSU rRNA". It matches the Rfam family "Bacterial small subunit ribosomal RNA", at positions 28 to 776 of the family's 1533-position model. The record is from RNAcentral. Lineage: Bacteria; Bacillati; Bacillota; Bacilli; Lactobacillales; Streptococcaceae.